This 445-nucleotide ribosomal RNA is filed under the name uncultured bacterium. RNAcentral's name for it is "bacterial SSU rRNA". It matches the Rfam family "Bacterial small subunit ribosomal RNA", at positions 354 to 796 of the family's 1533-position model. The record is from RNAcentral.
GUGAGGAAUAUUGCGCAAUGGAGGCAACUCUGACGCAGCCAUGCCGCGUGCAGGAAGAAGGCGCUACGCGUUGUAAACUGCUUUUAACCGGGAAGAAACCCCAGGACGUGUCCUGGGUUGACGGUACCGGAGGAAUAAGCACCGGCUAACUUCGUGCCAGCAGCCGCGGUAAUACGAAGGGUGCAAGCGUUAUCCGGAUUCAUUGGGUUUAAAGGGUGCGUAGGCGGAGCGUUAAGUCAGUGGUGAAAUCCUGCAGCUUAACUGUAGACUUGCCAUUGAUACUGGCGCUCUUGAGUGCGCUUGAAGUGGGCGGAAUGUGUCGUGUAGCGGUGAAAUGCUUAGAUAUGGCACAGAACACCAAUUGCGAAGGCAGCUCACUAAGGCGAUACUGACGCUGAGGCACGAAAGCGUGGGGAUCGAACAGGAUUAGAAACCCUUGUAGUCC